CAGGAGCCAAAUGUAUCAAAAUCUGAAACCACGCUGUCUAGACGAGGCCACCGCGUUAAUGACUAUACACUUGGAGGAGGUGGCAUGGGCAUCACAGAGGCGAAAAGGGACUACUAGCUACACGUGUACGGCAGCAGCUUGCGGGGCGAACUACAACGUGCGAGACGGCGUGCUAGGACAAAAUCGCGGACUUCACGACUACGCCGAGGAACCCUGAUUCCUAACAGGUAAGCAGAAUUUAGGCCAUAGGGUUAAGGCCAAGAACACGGAGCCGUGUAAUAUCGCCCGCACCGCGCCCACCGCGCGCGCAAAACGCCCUAUUAUCUUUGGUCUGAUCUUUAUUUUUCUGCGCUAUAACUACUAUCCCAAAUUAGAAUCAUAAUCAUAAUCUCACUACCUAUUUAAUGACUACCUUUGUCUAUCCACAUUAUUAUGACCUCAUACUUAGGACUACCUAGAAAGUAGUAUUGUUUCAAUCCUAAAUUCUGGUAUUAGGCCCGUGGGACUCGGGAGGCUACAAUGGAAGUAAUUGGUAAUUUUCGUAAAGAUUUUGAGUGGGUCGAAAGAGACUUUUAUUUUUACAGGGCAUCACGGAGGCGAAGAGGGACUACCAGCUAGCUACACGUGUACGGCAGCGGCUUGCGGGGCGAACUGCAACGUGCGAGACGGCGUGCUAGGACAAAAUCGCGGACUUCACGAUUACGCCGAGGAACCCUGAUUCCUAAUAGGGCAUCAUGGAGGCGAGGAAGGACUACCAGCUACACGUGUAUGGCAGCAGCUUGCGGGGCGAACUGCAACGUGCGAGACGGCGUGCUAGGACAAAAUCGCGGACUUCACGACUAGAGGAACCCGGAUUCCUAACAGGUUAGCAGAAUUUAGACCACAGGGUUAAGGCCAAGAACACGGAGCCGAGUGAUACCGCCCGCACCGCGCCCGCCGUCCGCAGCUCGGCCGAGCGGCUAGAAAUUUUGUAUCACGCUCCGCUGCCCGAAGGCCGAGGGCUGGACGCUCGUCAGCGUCACGCACGUGGCGCGCGGCGCGGCGAGCGGGAAGGCAGGAGGCGCGGGGCGCGGCGGCAAGCACUGUGCUUAUACUAAAAUCCGUUGCGUGCGAUGCGGUUCUGUGGACGUCUAUCCACAGAUUCAUUCAAUUUUGAUGGUGCUGCUCAAAGCCGGGCGGCGCGACCAGCGGUGGUUCGCGAAUCGCGCACCAUGAUCAAAAUGUAGGAUUGUUUGGUCAUCUGUUUUGGAUUUGGAUGCGUGACGAGACCAUGAAUCCUCACAAAAUAAAACAAGAAUAACGUAUUUCCCACUAAAGUGUAUGUACCUUGUUAAUUCAAUAUUAUUUUUUCAAGAACCAAAUGUAUUAAAAUAUGAAACGACGCUGUCUAAACGAGGCCACCGCGUUAAUGACUAUACACUUGAAGGAGGCGGUAAGGUAUGCAGAUGUUUUUAUACAUUAGAUUUAGCCUGACUAUUCGAACCCAAAAUAAAAGGUGUUAAAAAAACUAGCCAAAUGCGUGUCGGGCCACGUAUAGUGACGGUUCAUUACUUACUUUUUAG
Long non-coding RNA from Cydia pomonella (codling moth), 1562 nucleotides. RefSeq lists it as uncharacterized. The record is from RefSeq and is a predicted model, not a curated record. The transcript is spliced from 3 exons. NCBI's taxonomy places the organism in Eukaryota, Metazoa, Arthropoda, Insecta, Lepidoptera, Tortricidae.